AUGAGUCAAGACUUUGGGGCACUGUUGGGAAGCCAUGAUAGUGUUUUGAAAUGUGAGAAGGACAUGAGAUUUGGGAGGGGCCAAGGUCAAAAUGAUAUGGUUUGACUCUUUGUCUCCACCCAAAUGUCAGGUGGAAUUUUAGUUCCUACUGCUGGAAGAGAGACCUAGUGGGAGGUGAUUGGAUCAUGGGGGAAGACUUCCCCCUUGCUGUUCUCAUGAUAGUGAGUGAGUACUCACAAGAUCUGGUUGUUUGAAAACGUGUAGCACUUCCCCCUUCUCUCUCUCGCUCUCUCUCCUGUCACCAUGUGAAGAUGUACCUGCAUCUCCUUCACCUUCUGCAUGACUGUAAGUUUCCUGAGGUCUUCCCAGCCAUGCUUCCUGUACAGCCUGCAGAACUCAUAUUGGAAAUUUUUACUUCUGAGAAUAGCAUGUGGUGUUCAAGAUACUACUCUUAUUGCUUGGCAUUUUAUUCUAUGCAGUUCUCAGGAUAUAUGUAAAUCUGGAGUUGGAGGAAAUCAAAGCACGGAAAUGGAAUCAGGGACAUUAUACACUGUCGCUUAAAGGCACGUUCUCUGCCAUUGUAUUACCUGUGGUGCAAAUCCUGCUUCUGCCAGUGAUGUCCUUGGCAAAUUACCUGACCCCUCUAUGCUUUAGUUUUCUGUAUCUUUAUAUAGAAAUAAUAACAAUAAUACCCAUCUAUUAAGGUUGUUGUAAGAAUUAAAUGAGUUAAUACAUAUAUAAGGCUUAGGAUAGUGUCUGAUAUGUAAUAAUAUGUAACCUUAGAUCCUCCCUAAUUACUUUUAUGUUUUUUAUUAUAUCUCUAUUAAAAUGUUUAAUGAACAUAAAGUUUAAAUGAUUUUGUACUCAGGGGGACAUAAACUUGCACUGUUUUUGCACGAGAUGCUGUACAUAACAGAGUUUCUAGCACCUUAGAGUUUGUAAAGUGUAGAAUGAGUAGCAUUCUCUGAGUCUAGGUUAGUACUUUGAUGUUUAGAUGUAUUGAAACUGAUGCUUCGCAUAUUUAUUUCUUUAAAACAUAAACUGACUAAAGUCUACAUGUUCAUGUGCAGGUAAUAUGGCCAAUAUGGGCUUCAAUUAGCUAAACCAAUCUCAGUCACAUUCCUCUAUUUGGCUGGGCAGAAAUGGUUUAGGAUUAAAAUACUUGACUAUUUGAGUUAAAUACAUCCAGCCUGAUCAUCAGGUGCCACACCAUAAAUUAUUCCUUUCAAAGCCCUUUUUGGUACUUGGAUUAAGUAAUUAUCCUACCUGCCUAAGUGCUUUACAAAGUGGGUUGCUUUUGCUAACCUAGGCUCUCCCAAGUUUUCAUAAUACCAUUAUUACUUUAACAUACCAUUCCAUUAUUGCCAUGAGACAAUCCUGUAAGGUAAACAUUACCAAAUUUCACUCAUUGGUCAGAUUAUUUAAUUCCCAGACAAGGUUUUCACUGGUUCUUAAAGUUUGUUAUAGUGGAAUUUGGGUCAUCCUAAUGUCAUGUAGCAUGUUCUAAAGGGAUUAAAUGGGACACAAAGGGAGACAGAGGCAUAUUUAAAAAUGUCUAAAUAUGAGUAACAAUUCUGUCACUGGUAGGUUAAAUUAUUAAUAAUUGUAGAGAAAAUAAUGUUUGUCUAUUAUGAGAUAAUAAACUACUAUAUUGC
This 1655-nucleotide long non-coding RNA is filed under the name Homo sapiens (human). Its description in RNAcentral is "HSALNT0070676". The record is from RNAcentral. Lineage: Eukaryota; Metazoa; Chordata; Mammalia; Primates; Hominidae.